GACGAACGCUGGCGGCGUGCUUAACACAUGCAAGUCGAACGGAAAGGCCCUGCUUUUGUGGGGUGCUCGAGUGGCGAACGGGUGAGUAACACGUGAGUAACCUGCCCUUGACUUUGGGAUAACUUCAGGAAACUGGGGCUAAUACCGGAUAGGAGCUCCUGCUGCAUGGUGGGGGUUGGGAAGUUUCGGCGGUUGGGGAUGGACUCGCGGCUUAUCAGCUUGUUGGUGGGGUAGUGGCUUACCAAGGCUUUGACGGGUAGCCGGCCUGAGAGGGUGACCGGCCAACUGGGGGGGUAGGGAGGGCCCAGGCGCCGAGGGGGGGCAAGAGGGGGGAAUAUGGCAAAAGGGGGGGGAGGCUGGAAGGAGCACCGCCGGGGGGGGAAGGGGGGCUUUGGGGUUAGAAACCGUUUGGGCGGGAAAGGAGGGGGGGGGGAGGGAAAUGGUAAAAAAACCACGGCUAAAUACGUG
Molecule: ribosomal RNA, 468 nt
Filed under: uncultured bacterium
Lineage: Bacteria
Description: partial 16S ribosomal RNA
Rfam family: Bacterial small subunit ribosomal RNA
Source: RNAcentral